GUUGUAGCUCAAUUGGUUAGAGCGCUGGUCUGUGGCACCAGAGGCUGGGGGUUCAAGUCCCCUCAG
Molecule: transfer RNA, 66 nt
Filed under: marine eukaryotic metagenome
Rfam family: tRNA
About the family: Transfer RNA (tRNA) molecules are approximately 80 nucleotides in length. Their secondary structure includes four short double-helical elements and three loops (D, anti-codon, and T loops).
Source: RNAcentral